RNAcentral lists this ribosomal RNA (510 nucleotides) under uncultured bacterium. RNAcentral describes it as "partial 16S ribosomal RNA". It matches the Rfam family "Bacterial small subunit ribosomal RNA", at positions 28 to 507 of the family's 1533-position model. The record is from RNAcentral.
GACGAACGCUGGCGGCGUGCUUAACACAUGCAAGUCGAACGAAGGGCUAUGGAAGCUUGCUUCUAUCAAUCUUAGUGGCGAACGGGUGAGUAACGCGUAAUCAACCUGCCCUUCAGAGGGGGACAACAGUUGGAAACGACUGCUAAUACCGCAUACGAUCUAAUCUCGGCAUCGAGGAUAGAUGAAAGGUGGCCUCUACAUGUAAGCUAUCACUGAAGGAGGGGAUUGCGUCUGAUUAGCUAGUUGGAGGGGUAACGGCCCACCAAGGCGAUGAUCAGUAGCCGGUCUGAGAGGAUGAACGGCCACAUUGGGACUGAGACACGGCCCAGACUCCUACGGGAGGCAGCAGUGGGGAAUCUUCCGCAAUGGACGAAAGUCUGACGGAGCAACGCCGCGUGAGUGAUGACGGCCUUCGGGUUGUAAAGCUCUGUUAAUCGGGACGAAAGGCCUUCUUGCGAAUAGUGAGAAGGAUUGACGGUACCGGAAUAGAAAGCCACGGCUAACUACGUG